GGGGGAUUGGCGCAAUGGUAGCGCGUUGGUUUUCGGUCCAUCUGAAAGCGCACCAAAGGUUGUGGGUUCGAGCCCCAUGUCCCUCG
Non-coding RNA from Karstenula rhodostoma CBS 690.94, 86 nucleotides. NCBI's taxonomy places the organism in Eukaryota, Fungi, Ascomycota, Dothideomycetes, Pleosporales, Didymosphaeriaceae. The record is from the annotation of a GenBank genome assembly.